UACGUAGGGUGCAAGCGUCAAUCGGAAUUACUGGGCGUAAAGCGUGCGCAGGCGGUCGUGCAAGACAGGUGUGAAAUCCCCGGGCUUAACCUGGGAACUGCACUUGUGACUGCACGGCUGGAGUACGGCAGAGGGGGAUGGAAUUCCGCGUGUAGCAGUGAAAUGCGUAGAUAUGCGGAGGAACACCGAUGGCGAAGGCAGUCCCCUGGGCCUGUACUGACGCUCAUGCACGAAAGCGUGGGGAGCAAACAGG
Molecule: ribosomal RNA, 253 nt
Filed under: uncultured bacterium
Lineage: Bacteria
Description: partial 16S ribosomal RNA
Rfam family: Bacterial small subunit ribosomal RNA
Source: RNAcentral